This 253-nucleotide ribosomal RNA is filed under the name uncultured bacterium. RNAcentral describes it as "partial 16S ribosomal RNA". It matches the Rfam family "Bacterial small subunit ribosomal RNA", at positions 524 to 776 of the family's 1533-position model. The record is from RNAcentral.
UACGUAGGGUGCGAGCGUUAAUCGGAAUUACUGGGCGUAAAGCGUGCGCAGGCGGUUCGCCAAGUCAGGUGUGAAAUCCCCGGGCUUAACCUGGGAAUUGCGCUUGAAACUAGCGGGCUUGAGUGCGGCAGAGGGGGGUGGAAUUCCACGUGUAGCAGUGAAAUGCGUAGAGAUGUGGAGGAACACCGAUGGCGAAGGCAGCCCCCUGGGUCGACACUGACGCUCAUGCACGAAAGCUAGGGGAGCGAACGGG